This 441-nucleotide ribosomal RNA is filed under the name uncultured bacterium. RNAcentral's name for it is "bacterial SSU rRNA". It matches the Rfam family "Bacterial small subunit ribosomal RNA", at positions 35 to 509 of the family's 1533-position model. The record is from RNAcentral.
GCUGGCGGCAGGUCUUAGGCAUGCAAGUCGAACGGAUGACAGAGAGCUUGCUCUCUGAAGUCAGUGGCGCACGAGUGAGUAACGCGUGGGAAACUGCCCUUCACUGGGGAAUAACGUUUGGAAACGAACGCUAAUACCGCAUACGCCCGCAAGGGGAAAGAUUUAUCGGUGAUGGAUGUGCCCGCGUUGGAUUAGCCAGUUGGUGGGGUAAUGGCCUACCAAAGCAAUGAUCCAUAGCUGGUCUGAGAGGACGAUCAGCCACGCUGGAACUGAGACACGGUCCAGACUCCUACGGGAGGCAGCAGCUAAGAAUAUUGGGCAAUGGAGGAAACUCUGACCCAGCCAUGCCGCGUGAAUGAAGAAGGCCUUCGGGUUGUAAAGUUCUUUUAGUCAUGAAGAUGAUGACAGUAGUGACAGAAAAGCACCGGCUAACUUCGUGCC